This 431-nucleotide unclassified non-coding RNA is filed under the name fungal sp. RNAcentral's name for it is "partial internal transcribed spacer region". The stretch from base 1 to 46 matches the Rfam family "Eukaryotic small subunit ribosomal RNA", at positions 1786 to 1831 of the family's 1831-position model. Lineage: Eukaryota; Fungi. The record is from RNAcentral.
AAGUCGUAACAAGGUCUCCGUAGGUGAACCUGCGGAGGGAUCAUUAACACGUUUCCAUAACGUUUAACUUUCUACACACCAAAUUGCGUGAAUUCAAUCGAAUCAACUUAUACCCGACUUGAGAGGGAGAGAACCUGUCUUUAUACACGGAGUGAUGAGUGUGCGUAUUUGUUAUGUUGGCAACAGCAUAACAUUAGGCAUGCGGUGUAUCUAGGCUUGUAAUGCUCGACAUUACGGGAUCUCUCUCAUUCAAGCUAUCAACAAUUAACCAAUGUUCCCUUCAUCGCUGGAACGAACAACACCCCUUUCACCCCUUUAUAACUAACUAGACUGAUAUUUCUUUUUGACAGUGAGGCUUGCUUUACUGUUUCAAGGAUUGAUUUUAAUCAAAUAUCUAAGCACAACUCUUAGCAACGGAUAUCUUGGUUCUC